RNAcentral lists this ribosomal RNA (253 nucleotides) under uncultured bacterium. RNAcentral's name for it is "partial 16S ribosomal RNA". It matches the Rfam family "Bacterial small subunit ribosomal RNA", at positions 524 to 776 of the family's 1533-position model. The record is from RNAcentral.
UACGGAGGGGGCAAGCGUUAUUCGGAAUUAUUGGGCGUAAAGGGCGCGUAGGCGGCUAGAUGUGUCAAAGGUGAAAUCCCUCGGCUCAACUGAGGAACUGCCUUUGAAACUGUCUGGCUUGAGGCCGGGAGAGGGUAGCGGAAUUCCCGGUGUAGCGGUGAAAUGCGUAGAUAUUGGGAGGAACACCAGUGGCGAAGGCGGCUACCUGGACCGGUUCUGACGCUGAGGCGCGAAAGCGUGGGUAGCAAACAGG